RNAcentral lists this ribosomal RNA (497 nucleotides) under uncultured bacterium. RNAcentral describes it as "partial 16S ribosomal RNA". It matches the Rfam family "Bacterial small subunit ribosomal RNA", at positions 28 to 507 of the family's 1533-position model. The record is from RNAcentral.
GAUGAACGCUGGCGGCGUGCCUAAUACAUGCAAGUCGAGCGAACGGACGAGAAGCUUGCUUCUCUGAUGUUAGCGGCGGACGGGUGAGUAACACGUGGAUAACCUACCUAUAAGACUUGGAUAACUUCGUGAAACCGGAGCUAAUACCGGAUGAUAUUUUGAACCGCAUGGUUCAAAAGUGAAAGACGGUCUUGCUGUCACUUAUAGAUGGAUCCGCGCUGCAUUAGCUAGUUGGUAAGGUAACGGCUUACCAAGGCAACGAUGCAUAGCCGACCUGAGAGGGUGAUCGGCCACACUGGAACUGAGACACGGUCCAGACUCCUACGGGAGGCAGCAGUAGGGAAUCUUCCGCAAUGGGCGAAAGCCUGACGGAGCAACGCCGCGUGAGUGAUGAAGGUCUUCGGAUCGUAAAACUCUGUUAUUAGGGAAGAACAUAUGUGUAAGUAACUGUGCACAUCUUGACGGUACCUAAUCAGAAAGCCACGGCUAACUACGUG